RNAcentral lists this ribosomal RNA (497 nucleotides) under uncultured bacterium. Its description in RNAcentral is "partial 16S ribosomal RNA". It matches the Rfam family "Bacterial small subunit ribosomal RNA", at positions 28 to 507 of the family's 1533-position model. The record is from RNAcentral.
GAUGAACGCUGGCGGCGUGCCUAAUACAUGCAAGUCGAGCGAACAGACGAGGAGCUUGCUCCUCUGACGUUAGCGGCGGACGGGUGAGUAACACGUGGAUAACCUACCUAUAAGACUGGGAUAACUUCGGGAAACCGGAGCGAAUACCGGAUAAUAUAUUGAACCGCAUGGUUCAAUAGUGAAAGACGGUUUUGCUGUCACUUAUAGAUGGAUCCGCGCCGCAUUAGCUAGUUGGUAAGGUAACGGCUUACCAAGGCGACGAUGCGUAGCCGACCUGAGAGGGUGAUCGGCCACACUGGAACUGAGACACGGUCCAGACUCCUACGGGAGGCAGCAGUAGGGAAUCUUCCGCAAUGGGCGAAAGCCUGACCGAGCCACGCCGCGUGAGUGAUGAAGGUCUUCGGAUCGUAAACCUCUGUUAUUCGGGAAGAACAAAUGUGUAAGUAACUAUGCACGUCUUGACGGUACCUAAUCAGAAAGCCCCGGCUAACUACGUG